This 245-nucleotide ribosomal RNA is filed under the name uncultured bacterium. Its description in RNAcentral is "partial 16S ribosomal RNA". It matches the Rfam family "Bacterial small subunit ribosomal RNA", at positions 524 to 768 of the family's 1533-position model. The record is from RNAcentral.
UACAGAGGUGGCAAGCGUUGUUCGGAUUUAUUGGGCGUAAAGGGUCUGUAGGCGGCCUGAUAAGUCGGAUGUGAAAUCCCACAGCUUAACUGUGGAACUGCAUUCGAAACUAUCAGGCUAGAGUGUGAGAGGGGUAAAGGGAAUUCCCGGUGUAAGGGUGAAAUCUGCAGAGAUCGGGAGGAACACCAGUCGCGAAGGCGCUUUACUGGCUCAUAACUGACGCUGAGGGACGAAAGCUAGGGGAG